CCUACGGGAGGCAGCAGUGAGGAAUAUUGGUCAAUGGGCGCGAGCCUGAACCAGCCAAGUAGCGUGAAGGAUGACUGUCCUACGGGUUGUAAACUUCUUUUAUAAAGGAAUAAAGCGAGGCACGCGUGCCUUGUUGUAUGUACUCCAUGAAUUAGGCAUGGCUUACUCCGUGCCAGCAGCCGCGGUAAUACGGAGGAUUCGAGCGUUAUUCGGAUUUAUUGGGGUUAAAGGGAGCGUAGAUGGGUUGUUAAGGCAGUUGUGAAAGUUUGCGGCUCAACCGUAGAAUUGCAAUUGAUACUGGCAGUCUUGAGUGCAGUUGAGGUAGGCGGAAUUCGUGGUGUAGCGGUGAAAUGCUUAGAUAUCACGAAGAACUCCGAUUGCGAAGGCAGCUUACUAAACUGCCACUGACAUUGAUGCUCGAAAGUGUGGGUAUCAAACAGGAUUAGAUACCCGAGUAGUC
This 460-nucleotide ribosomal RNA is filed under the name uncultured bacterium. RNAcentral's name for it is "partial 16S ribosomal RNA". It matches the Rfam family "Bacterial small subunit ribosomal RNA", at positions 338 to 795 of the family's 1533-position model. The record is from RNAcentral.